AAGACCAAAGACAUAAGAGGUGCGAGAGUGGUGCUCCACGUGUUAGGAGAUGAUAAAAGGAGGCAUGGCUUUUCAAGGAAAUGUGAAGAGCAAAACUAAUCUCCUGCUUCAGGAAGAAAACGGGAACAGAAGGACGGCCUAUUCCUUUAAUGAGAAAUAAAUCAGGGGAACAACAGUUGAACAGUCAUCUGAAAGAAGUAAGAGAAAGGACACUGAGAUCCUCACCUCCCCCAACAUAUUGGAUUUAAACGUGCAAUCAGAUUCAACUUCAGUUGAAAAAUGUGGGUUAUUGAACCCUCAUAAGGAGCCUAUUUAAGUUGGAAAGUAAGAGAAGUUGCUGCAGAGUGACAGCUACAUGUGACAGGGAAAAAAAGAGAACAGGCUUACGGAGACUGAUGCCCAGUGUUACUGUUCACUCACAUCCACAGCACAACAAUGAAGGGAAGAAAAGAGACUGAAAGGACACAGCUUGGAAGAAUCUGUUAAAUGCAUUAUAAAAUUCACUGCUUUAAGUCUCUUGUUUAAUUUAUUCGACUUUGUACUUUAUUCUUUCCAGGACCCUCUUUUCUCCAUUAACGAAUGCAUUGGAACAAUAACAACAAAAAUAAAACUUUGUUGUCUCCAGUAA
This is a long non-coding RNA of Lagopus leucura (white-tailed ptarmigan), 628 nucleotides long. RefSeq lists it as uncharacterized. The transcript has 2 exons. NCBI's taxonomy places the organism in Eukaryota, Metazoa, Chordata, Aves, Galliformes, Phasianidae. The record is from RefSeq and is a predicted model, not a curated record.